RNAcentral lists this ribosomal RNA (406 nucleotides) under uncultured bacterium. RNAcentral's name for it is "partial 16S ribosomal RNA". It matches the Rfam family "Bacterial small subunit ribosomal RNA", at positions 30 to 526 of the family's 1533-position model. The record is from RNAcentral.
AUUGAACGCUGGCGGCAGGCCUAACACAUGCAAGUCGAGCGAGUGGCGGACGGGUGCGUAAUGUCUGGGAAACUGCCCGAUGGAGGGGGAUAACUACUGGAAACGGUAGCUAAUACCGCAUACCAUCGGAUGUGCCCAGAUGGGAUUAGCUUUUAGGUGAGGUAAGGGCUCACCUAGGCGACGAUCCCUAGCUGGUCUGAGAGGAUGACCAGCCACACUGGAACUGAGACACGGUCCAGAGUCCUACGGGAGGCAGAAGGGGGGAAUAUUGCACAAUGGGCGCAAGCCUGAUACAGCCAUGCCGCGUGUAUGAAGAAGGCCUUCGGGUUGUAAAGUACUUUCAGCGGGGAGGCGUUACCCGCAGAAGAAGCACCGGCUAACUCCGUGCCAGCAGCCGCGGUAAUAC